AAUAUUAUGUACUAGCCGAUGCCCGCGACUUCGCCCGCGCGGAUUUAGGUUUUUAAAAAUCCCGUGGGAAUUUUUGAUUUUCCUGGA
Long non-coding RNA from Maniola jurtina (meadow brown), 87 nucleotides. RefSeq lists it as uncharacterized. The transcript has 2 exons. The record is from RefSeq and is a predicted model, not a curated record. NCBI's taxonomy places the organism in Eukaryota, Metazoa, Arthropoda, Insecta, Lepidoptera, Nymphalidae.